UACGUAGGGGGCGAGCGUUAUCCGGAAUUACUGGGCGUAAAGCGCACGCAGGCGGUUCGCCAAGUUUGGAGUGACAGUUGUCGGCUCAACCGACAAAGGACUUCAAAAACUGGUGAACUUGAGGACGAGAGAGGAACAUGAAACUCCAGGUGUAGUAGUGAAAUGCGUAGAUAUCUGGAAGAACACCAAUGGCGAAGGCAAUGUUCUGGCUCGUUUCUGACGCUCAGGUGCGAAAGCCAGGGGAGCGAACGGG
This 253-nucleotide ribosomal RNA is filed under the name uncultured bacterium. RNAcentral describes it as "partial 16S ribosomal RNA". It matches the Rfam family "Bacterial small subunit ribosomal RNA", at positions 524 to 776 of the family's 1533-position model. The record is from RNAcentral.